ACUAACUUCAGCAGUAUGUACUAAAAUCUGAACAAUACAAAGAUGAUUAAUGUGAUCCCUGCACAAGGAUGACAUGCAAAUUUGUGAAGCGUUCCACCUCUCA
Small nuclear RNA from Rhincodon typus (whale shark), 103 nucleotides. The record is from RefSeq and is a predicted model, not a curated record. NCBI's taxonomy places the organism in Eukaryota, Metazoa, Chordata, Chondrichthyes, Orectolobiformes, Rhincodontidae.